Acipenser ruthenus (sterlet) is the source of this 1579-nucleotide long non-coding RNA. RefSeq lists it as uncharacterized. The transcript has 4 exons. NCBI's taxonomy places the organism in Eukaryota, Metazoa, Chordata, Actinopteri, Acipenseriformes, Acipenseridae. The record is from RefSeq and is a predicted model, not a curated record.
AGAAUUCACUCAAGGUUUAGGAAAACACAGUGACAUAUUGCUCACCACUUUGAUCAAAAGUCAAGAUGAUCUGCAGUCAAAGGUGGAAGAGACUCAACGUCAACUUGGGCAAAUGUCACAAUAUAUACAAAGUAUCACAGUAGAAAUCUAUAUAUAGUCAAAAGUGCUGUUAGGCUACUGAGCUGAAUUGAACUGUACAGUAUACACUAAUGUUGUAAUGUUUUAUGGAAUUACAAACAGCCAAAAAAAAUGUCUUAAUUAAGGAAUAUGAAUAUACACUUGUAGACAUAUUAAAGUAUAUAUAUAUAUUUGCAAUAUAUAAAGUAUAAUCCCCUAUAUAUAUAUAUAGGGAUUAUACUUUAUAUAUUGCAAACUGUGCAUACUUUAAACAAUAGGCGUAUUUAGGAUGAUACAGUAUUUAGAAUAUUAUUAUAUACUUAAAUGUGUGCAUAAUAUGAAUAGUUUGAGUUUGACAGACAUUUCCUUUAGCACUUAUUUCUGAAAUAUUGAACAUUCUCAUGUACUUUAUAUUCUAACAGCUAAUAUAAUUAUGAAUUGCAGGCAAUCAGAUUUUAGCAUCACUAAUUCAGGAAUACGCUCAGCUAAAAAUCAAGGACUUGUAAAAGAGUUUACCUAUCAGCUUGACGAAGGAGGAGAUGAAGACUCUCGACAAUUAAAACAAUUCCUUAGAAAGACAGUUGAAGAAAUAAGGCCAGGAAACGCACCAUCAAGAGAGGUGCUCGUCCACUGUUUCUGGGCUGUCGUAGCAGUAGCCGUCACACUAUCCGCCUAUUUUUAUGGCAAGCUGAGAAGUAGUAAGUAAAAGAAGAAAGUUCAAUUUGGUGAAAUAAAAAAAAACUCUUUAUAAAUUAUUUAUCUUUCCAUAAAAUAACUACCUUCUUCUAGACUACUAUAUAUGCACUACAAUCUUUUCCCAAUAAUUGUUUAUUUAGAACAAAAACAAAGUGCAAACCCAUUUUCUACUAUUUGGGGUAUUGGGAGAUAGACUGACAAGCAGCUAAUUUUCUUCCAUUCGCUGUGAAUAUAGUCUAAGUGACUAGUGCUUUUUGAUAUGCUUGUGUGAGACAAAUGUUGGGUGAAAAGAUGGUUUAAAAACUGUAGCUACUGUAUAAAGGACCAUUAAGAUUGUGGCUUAGAAAUUUAAAUGAGGUCUUGAGAUCUAAUUAACAUGGUUGCUGUGGGUUUGUACAUGGGUCCUGGCCGAUAUGAACUCGCAGACUGCCUUAACCAUCAAACGAUCAAAAAUGUCUGACUGACUGUGACAGGCUGGCUCGCAGUGGUGAGGUGUGGUGAGGUCGCGGACCAGGAAGUAACUGAAACCAAACAAUGGAUGGGCGGGUGAAGCUGAAUGCUACGGCACUCAGCUGAUUUAUUAACAAACAAAACAAAACCAAAAGAUUUAAACAAAACAACAAAACCAAAGGGCACGAGGGCCAAACGAAUCAGACAGACAAACAAGUAAGUGUCGUGCUGGCUAAUCCAGCACGUUUUAGCAAUUGUUAAAUUCCUCUGUAUCUCCCCGUACCUCCUCUCUGUACACCCAACCCCGCAGUAUGGA